GUCUACAGCCAUACCACCCUGUACGUGCCCAAGCUUGUCUGAUCUCAGAAGCUAAGCAGGGUCGGGCCUGGUUAGUACUUGGAUGGGAGAAAAGAGAGAAGGGCUUUGUUGAAU
This is a ribosomal RNA of Colobus angolensis palliatus, 114 nucleotides long. Lineage: Eukaryota; Metazoa; Chordata; Mammalia; Primates; Cercopithecidae. The record is from Ensembl.